Molecule: ribosomal RNA, 1301 nt
Filed under: metagenome
Description: bacterial LSU rRNA
Rfam family: Bacterial large subunit ribosomal RNA
Source: RNAcentral
UGAAUACGAGAUGCUACGGCGUCGAAGCAGUCUAUGUCAUACUUCCAAGAAAAGCUUGCACUGUCAUAAACAAAUAAUGCCUGUACCAUAACCGACACAGGUGGGUAGGUAGAGUAUACUAAGGGGCGCGAGAUAACUCUCUCUAAGGAACUCGGCAAAAUGACUCCGUAACUUCGGGAGAAGGAGUGCCUUAUUUAUAAGGUUGCAAUAACAAGAUCCAAGCAACUGUUUACCAAAAACACAGGUCUCCGCUAAGUCGUAAGACGAUGUAUGGGGGCUGACGCCUGCCCAGUGCCAGAAGGUUAAAGAAGUUGGUUAGCAUCCGCGAAGCUGAUAACUGAAGCCCUGGUGAACGGCGGCCGUAACAAUAACGGUCCUAAGGUAGCGAAAUUCCUUGUCGGGUAAGUUCCGACCCGCACGAAAGGCGUAAUGAUUUGGAUACUGUCUCGGAGAGGGGCUCGGUGAAAUAGACUUGUCUGUGAAGAUGCGGACUACCUGCACCAGGACAGAAAGACCCUAUGAAGCUUUACUGUAACCUGAAAUUGAAAUUGGACUUUACUUGCGCAGUAUAGGUGGGAGGCGUUGAGAAUAUUCUUGCGGGAUUAUUGGAGCCAUCAGUGAGAUACCACUCUUGUAAUGUUAGAUUUCUAACUUUGUAUCAUUAUCUGGUCAAAGAACAGUUUCAGGCGGGCAGUUUGACUGGGGCGGUCGCCUCCUAAACGGUAACGGAGGCGCACAAAGGUUUCCUCUGAACGGGUAGAAAUCGUAUCUAGAGUGUAAAGGCAUAAGGAAGCUUGACUGUGAGACCUACAAGUCGAGCAGGGACGAAAGUCGGUCUUAGUGAUCUGACGGUGCUGAGUGGAAAGGCCGUCACUCAACGGAUAAAAGUUACUCUAAGGAUAACAGGCUGAUCUCCCCCAAGAGUUCACAUCGACGGGGAGGUUUGGCACCUCGAUGUCGGCUCAUCGCAUCCUGGGGCGGUAGUACGUCCCAAGGGUUGGGCUGUUCGCCCAUGAAAGCGGUACGCGAGCUGGGUUCAGAACGUCGUGAGACAGUUCGGUCCAUAUCCGGUGUAGGCGUUAGAAUAUUGAGAGGAGCCUUCUUUAGUACGAGAGGACCGAGAAGGACAUACCUCUGGUGUACCAGUUAUCGUGCCAACGGCAAACGCUGGGUAGCUAUGUGUGGAGUGGAUAACCGCUGAAAGCAUCUAAGUGGGAAGCCCACCUCAAGAUGAUUGCUCUCACAGGGUUAACCUGGUAAGGUCACGGGAAGACCACCCGUUGAUAGGCACUCGGUGGAAG